RNAcentral lists this ribosomal RNA (253 nucleotides) under uncultured bacterium. Its description in RNAcentral is "partial 16S ribosomal RNA". It matches the Rfam family "Bacterial small subunit ribosomal RNA", at positions 524 to 776 of the family's 1533-position model. The record is from RNAcentral.
GACAUAGGGGGCAAGCGUUGCUCGGAAUUACUGGGCGUAAAGGGCGCGUAGGCGGGAUGGCAAGUCGGUCGUGAAAUCCCUCGGCUCAACCGAGGAACGUCGAUCGAUACUGCUGUUCUUGAGGAUUGCAGAGGAGACUGGAAUUCCCGGUGUAGCGGUGAAAUGUGUAGAGAUCGGGAGGAACACCGGUGGCGAAGGCGGGUCUCUGGGCAAUUCCUGACGCUGAGGCGCGGAAGCGUGGGGAGCAAACGGG